Molecule: ribosomal RNA, 497 nt
Filed under: uncultured bacterium
Lineage: Bacteria
Description: partial 16S ribosomal RNA
Rfam family: Bacterial small subunit ribosomal RNA
Source: RNAcentral
GAUGAACGCUGGCGGCGUGCCUAAUACAUGCAAGUCGAGCGAACAGACGAGGAGCUUGCUCCUCUGACGUUAGCGGCGGACGGGUGAGUAACACGUGGAUAACCUACCUAUAAGACUGGGAUAACUUCGGGAAACCGGAGCUAAUACCGGAUAAUAUAUUGAACCGCAUGGUUCAAUAGUGAAAGACGGUUUUGCUGUCCCUUAUAGAUGGAUCCGCGCCGCAUUAGCUAGUUGGUAAGGUAACGGCCUACCAAGGCAACGAUGCGUAGCCGACCUGAGAGGGUGAUCGGCCACACUGGAACUGAGACACGGUCCAGACUCCUACGGGAGGCAGCAGUAGGGAAUCUUCCGCAAUGGGCGAAAGCCUGACGGAGCAACGCCGCGUGAGUGAUGAAGGUCUUCGGAUCGUAAAACUCUGUUAUUAGGGAAGAACAAAUGUGUAAGUAACUAUGCACGUCUUGACGGUACCUAAUCAGAAAGCCACGGCUAACUACGUG